UAGGAUUUACAUAUCUAGGAACCAAGGGGUAGAAAUAAGAAUGCUUCCUCUGAACAUUAUCCCUAGCAAUCCAAUAACUGGAUUUUUGUCUUCCAUCCUUACCACUUCAGUUUCUGCUGGUCUAGACAUCUGGGUUCCAAAAGAAGAAUGCAUCUCCCAGGAGACAUGACAAUGAUUCCAUUCAACAGGAAGUUGAGACUGCCACCUGAACACUUUGGGCUCCUCAUGCCUCUGAAUCAACGGGCAAAGAAGAGAGUUAUAGAUCCUAACCACCCAGGAGAAAUUCGGUGGCCACUACACAAACAGACUUUUCUGACUCUGCGGCCAGGUGUUUGUAUUUAACUCCACGGUGAGGAGACUCAUCUUCUGACGGACCUAACCUAUACCAUCAAGCUCCAGCACCACAAGCAAAGACAAAAACCUUGCGGAAACUAUUUAACUAACUCCCACAAUUGCAUAAGGAUCUAAAUGAAAA
Molecule: long non-coding RNA, 475 nt
Filed under: Homo sapiens (human)
Lineage: Eukaryota; Metazoa; Chordata; Mammalia; Primates; Hominidae
Description: non-protein coding LINC01938:14
Source: RNAcentral